UUCGAAGAUCCUCAAAUUCCCGCCAAUACUAUUCAUCACUUUCAGAUUUCUCUCUCUCUUUCUGUUCUACUCUGCUUUGAUUCUCUUAAGGAAGGCUUUUAUCACAUGGGAACUAAUAGAAAGAGAAGGAUAAAAGCCUUGGAACCACAUUCAGAAACUAAUCCGCGUGAAGGUUGUAAGGGAGUUGAUAAAUCUAGAAAGACAGUUGUGGAGCAGCAGCUUCAGGAAGCAACAGG
Molecule: long non-coding RNA, 236 nt
Organism: Hibiscus syriacus
Lineage: Eukaryota; Viridiplantae; Streptophyta; Magnoliopsida; Malvales; Malvaceae
Exons: 2
Source: RefSeq, a predicted model, not a curated record